Cydia pomonella (codling moth) is the source of this 4005-nucleotide long non-coding RNA. RefSeq lists it as uncharacterized. The transcript has 2 exons. The record is from RefSeq and is a predicted model, not a curated record. NCBI's taxonomy places the organism in Eukaryota, Metazoa, Arthropoda, Insecta, Lepidoptera, Tortricidae.
GAGAUUACCUUUCGACACCAGUACAGAGAUUUUUCUUCAAAGUGUGACUUAGUUUCUUAGUACCAAUGUAGUUGAAUUUAAGCAACUAAUCACAAUAUAUCAAUGUUAUUGUCAUUUGAAUGUUGUAUUGAAAUCAGUAAUAGUUAGAUGCCACUGUAUUGUUCCCAAUGUAAAUAUCUUAAUUCUGCCAUGGUACGUGUGAUAACUAGAGUCAGUACUUGCUGAAUGUGAUAUGAAUGUGAUAUUUUCCUUACAACCCAUCCAACUAUAGUUUAAUAGCUCCCUUAGUCCAAAAUCAACUCCACGUUAUGACUCAUUUGAAUGGGUCACAAUUCCAAGGCAACGUAUUUUCAUAAAUGGAGAAAAACUCAAACACCACCAAAUAGAAGAUUGACAUUCAAACUAUAUAACGAUGAUGAUACUAUUAAACUUGAGCACCAUAAUUGUAGUACUAGACUAAAGUUGGGUGAUACGGUACACGAAAUAGACGAGUUUUCAGAUAAUUGUCUGUACAAUGGAAGUUAAAGAGCAGCGGUCCUGGUUUAGUGGAUUUCUCCACACAGAAAAAAGAAGUGGCAUCUAGUAUUUUAUCAUAGUAUUACUACAAAUCUAUUUAUUGCUAAUCCGAGAUAGCAGCUCUAAUUAACAAUUGGGUUGUGAUCUAGCUUUAAAGUGAACAAAUUUAAUAAUUUGGCGUGCUCCGUAUUUAUCCUCAAUUCACUACAUAUUUAGAGGAAAGGGGACGACCACUUCUCCAUUCAAACGUAGUCCCCAUUUUCCUCUCUGGAUAUUGAUAUUAUAGAAAAUAUUUUACAUAACUAUAGCUAAGCUCCUACGUUUGAGUUUUUUCGUAUUUUGUAUUAUUAUAAAAAUUAGGAACGAGAAACAGAUUUUCAACUUCUUAAAUGCUCUCAUAACUCUUAUAAUAAUCAAAAAUUCGAAAAAAAUCAUACGUAGGUAUAACCACAUACCUAGCUGUGGUUGAUAUACAACAAACUGUCUCCGAAUAUUUUCAAUAAUGUUAAUAUCCAGAGAGGAAAAUGAGGGCUACGUUUGUAUAAAAAGGCAAUUUCGCGCGAGUCCUCCGCUUUUGUCGUAACAAUAUCAACAUUUGUAUCAGAAUAUGCACCAAAAGAUAUGUUUCUAUUUAGAACAAUUCAAGUGUUGCAGAUACAUUUGAAUGCGAAAUGUCGAGAUAUAUCUUUAUUUAGAAAAGUAUUCUGGGUUGGUAGAAACUUUUGGCGCGUUGUGUCAUCCGAUAAUAUUGAUGCUGACUGUACAUUUCAUGGUUUAUUUAAGGUACCUAUCGGCCACCGUUAUUUGGUUAUAAUUGCUAUACCAAAAUAUGACAAAUUGUCAUCUUCGCAUAAUAUGUAAUUGUCAUGAUGACGAAAUGCUCCAAUUUCAUCAGGCGCGUAUUUCACCAACUUGACAAUUGACUCCUGACACUGAAUUGUAAUGUCUGGUGACAAUUGUCAGCGUGGUGAAACAGGGGCCUGAUUAACACUUUUUCUUUUUUCUUUUGACUUGUGUUAUUUAUCUUGUGUUUUGUCUUGUCUUGUUCUUGAUACUUGAUUUAUGUCAAGUUCUUGAAACAUUUUAGUUAUCUUAUUAAAAUGUAAAUUUGGUCUUUUGAACCGAAUAUUUACUUGUUAAUUUUCGGAUUAGCUUUAAACCGGUUUCCCAAACGCUAUAGAAAUAUAUUUUCAUAGAAUGUUGUCAUAAUUCUCAGUGUCAAAGUCUGUGUUUUAGAAUAAUACUUGCCGUUAUGGUUUUGACAAAUCUCGCUAGAUGGCAUUAGUGAUCGAUUUCUAAUUCUUAUAAUUUGGGAACUUUGUUUUAUUAAAAGUUAAAAGGUUUAUUAAUCAUUAUAUUGGCAGCGUAUUAGCAGCACUUUAAGCUCACCUGCACAUAAAAUAUAUAGCUGGGAUAACUGCCAUCCGUCCUAAUAUAAACCCCAUAUUGAAAAUGGAGAGAGCUCAUUUAGCUAAGCUUAAUGUAUUCUAACCGGUUGCGGGUGACCUUAUGUAUCUGUGAAUCUCUAUAGCCUCCUGAGACCCAGACGCAGUUAUCGAAUUUGGAACCUUUUGUUAAUAAAUGAAAGUUCAGAAUAGAUUGAGCAAUAUGUACAAAAAUGUCCGUCUAACCAUAGAGAAAUAAGUAAGCAUAGAGUGCUUACUCCAUACAUCAGUUUUCUUACCAAAACGCUCAUUAUUUUUGUAUAUGAGGAUUGGUCAGUACCGCUAUUUGACACCAGAUGUCACGUGUGUCGUGAUGUUAAAAAGUGUAUUUCUAAGCAAUUUACUUCUAAUAUUACUAUUAAUACUGAUAAAUCCGCUACUUGACGCUAAAUGUUGACUACGAAAAAAAUAAGCGUGUUGGUAUGAAAACUGAUGUAUGGAGUGAGUACUCUGCUUACUUAUUUAUCUAUGGUACGUCCGACUAGAAUUUUUGCAAAAUAAAAAUACAUUGCCACUUCGGGCAAGAUGUGAAGCUUAUGCAACUGCGGCGAUAAUUCCAUCUUACACUUCAUUAUUUUACAUGAAUUAUUAUUUUAUUUCAAAAAUGCUUGUUUCGUGGACCGUCCUUGUGAGUACAUAAAUUAGUAAUGUAAUAUUUUUAAUAUUUGUGACUAUUGUAUUGAUUUUCACAAUACUUAAUUCAAUAUGAAGCUACCUAAUUAUUUUGUAGUCAUACAUUUUGUUUCAAAAUGAUCUCACUACCUUGAAUUAAUUAAUAGUAGUUUACGUGACUGCUACAUAACGACUGGUAAUGAGGUAGAUAAAGCAGUGUACGUAUACACUGCUUUAUCUACACACAUAUUAAUAAGUUCUCUAUUAUGUGUUCAGGAACCGCAUUUUAUCACACUCAAUAAAACGUCAUCUCGUCUGAUGCUAGAAAUUAGUGGUGUUUGGCCUAGUGGGUAGUGACCCUGCGUACGAAGCUGAUGGUCCUGGGUUCAAACCCUGGUAAGGGCAUUUAAAUUCGUGCGCUGAGCAUGGAUAUUUGUUCCUGAGUCAUGGCUGUUUUCUAUGUAGGUAUUUAAGUAUUUAUGCCCAAGUACCCUCAACACAAGCCUUAUUGAGCUUACUGUGGGACUUAGUUUGUGUAAUAAUGUUCUAUAAUAUUUAUUUAUAUAUUUAUUAAUUUUAUUUUAAAUGAAAUUCCUUUGUUUUUGAGAAAUAAUCAUAUCGACUAUCACGCAAUAAUAACAUUUUAACUUGUAACAAAACAGUUUAUCUUUAUGCUGGCUAUCAUUUACGGUUUUUGGAUGCAUCACAGAGGGUUUAUGAUAUUAUGUGUAUGAACAAAAUAAUUUAUAUGCAAUGCAAGUUUAUUUUAUACCCGGAACACAAUUACUUAAUAUAACAACCACCACGUGCGCCAUCUAGUGCCUCUAAGAUACAUUAGACGCUUUAUGGUGUUCAAACUAUUUAUACUAUAUACAAAAUAAUAUAAAUCAAUUCAUAGAUCUUUGUUGAAAUACAUUUACUCGUAAACAUGCUCCGAAAAUGGAACUCGUAAUAAAUUGGGAGUACUAUAUGUACAGAAUGAUUUAUCUCUGGUGCUUGUUUCACAAAAUUGACAAGUGGCACUUGACACUGACAAUUUCAUGUCCCUUUCUGGGUGGGUGGAUCCUUGGAGGAUUUAUCAUUAACAUUAACUUUAUUAAUUAUAUAAAAUGAACUAGACUAAAAUAUUAGUAUAGAACCGAAGUUAUAAAUAAUGAAACAAAAGAUAAAUAGUUUAAUACGGAAAUUUGCAUGUAUCAACUUAGGUAUAAACCUGAAUGUCAUAUUUAAUAUAUAAAAAUAUAUUUUAGUUUUUCGUUGACUUGCAUGACAUUUAUAUGUACUUCUGGUCUCCCGCGAUACAGGCCUAGCCUAGUGCGGGGACUCCUGGAAACUCUGUUGUCAAUCUAGUUAUGCACCAACUCUUAAAAACAACCGCUGUAUACUUUUUCUGUGUCCUUUCUUGUGCAAUAAACAUAUUUUUUAUCUUUUA